Molecule: ribosomal RNA, 726 nt
Filed under: uncultured Bacilli bacterium
Lineage: Bacteria; Bacillati; Bacillota; Bacilli
Description: bacterial SSU rRNA
Rfam family: Bacterial small subunit ribosomal RNA
Source: RNAcentral
ACAUGCAAGUCGAACGCACUCUCGUUUAGAUUGAAGGAGCUUGCUCCUGAUUGAUAAACAUUUGAGUGAGUGGCGGACGGGUGAGUAACACGUGGGUAACCUGCCCUAAAGUGGGGGAUAACAUUUGGAAACAGAUGCUAAUACCGCAUAAAACCUAACACCGCAUGGUGUAGGGUUGAAAGAUGGUUUCGGCUAUCACUUUAGGAUGGACCCGCGGUGCAUUAGUUAGUUGGUGAGGUAAAGGCUCACCAAGACCGUGAUGCAUAGCCGACCUGAGAGGGUAAUCGGCCACACUGGGACUGAGACACGGCCCAGACUCCUACGGGAGGCAGCAGUAGGGAAUCUUCCACAAUGGACGAAAGUCUGAUGGAGCAACGCCGCGUGAGUGAAGAAGGUUUUCGGAUCGUAAAACUCUGUUGUUGGAGAAGAAUGUAUCUGAUAGUAACUGAUCAGGUAGUGACGGUAUCCAACCAGAAAGCCACGGCUAACUACGUGCCAGCAGCCGCGGUAAUACGUAGGUGGCAAGCGUUGUCCGGAUUUAUUGGGCGUAAAGCGAGCGCAGGCGGUUUCUUAAGUCUGAUGUGAAAGCCUUCGGCUCAACCGAAGAAGUGCAUCGGAAACUGGGAAACUUGAGUGCAGAAGAGGACAGUGGAACUCCAUGUGUAGCGGUGAAAUGCGUAGAUAUAUGGAAGAACACCAGUGGCGAAGGCGGCUGUCUGGUCUGUA